Molecule: small RNA, 295 nt
Rfam family: 5' ureB small RNA
Source: Rfam
CCUCGGCCAUCAGCUGCGGGCAGAUCAGGUGCACGUGGCAGUCGAUGCCGCCCGCGGUGACGAUGCGGCCGUUGCCCGCGAUGAUCUCCGUCGCCGGCCCGACCACCAGGGCCGGAUGCACGCCCGCCAUGAUGUCGGGGUUGCCGGCCUUACCGAUCGCGACGAUGCGUCCGUCCCGGAUACCGAUGUCGGCCUUGAUGAUUCCCCAGUAGUCGAUGAUCACUGCGCCGGUGAUGACGGUGUCGGGUGUGCCGUCGGCCCUGGUGGCCCGGGACUGUCCCAUCGACUCGCGCAG